UGCUGAUAAAGACAUUGAUGAAGAAUUAAGAUCCAAUGCUCGUGAUGGGAUUAGCAAAGAAAAUCUGUUGAGGAAUAGAGAAACUGAUCAGGAGUAGCAGAACCUUAUACCCAUACUGCAAAAUAAGAUGGACAAAAUACAACCUCAAGUUGAAUGCAGCAUUCAAUCAACUGAUUCGGAAAGCCCUUUACAAGCAAUCAAGCCUUUCUUCUGGUGCAAAAGCAUGAAUCAGAAAGACAAAAAAACAACCACCCAAGAAAUGAAAAGCACCAACUUCUACCUGACUGAGCUCCAGCAUACUCAUCCUUUCCACGCUCUUGGAAACACGUGUCCCGUCGUUAUUCAGAAUGAUGCUAUCCUCAAGUAUGAGAAGGAUGGCAAUGGCAGCCAUGGGGAUUUUUUUUCCUAUUGUUUUUAGCUUACAACUAUCACUUUGAAAUAGAAGAUGCUGUUCCAGCACUGCUGAUCUUCUUAAGGGUGUUAAUUCCAGGAGAAUAAUUAAAUUUAUUCCCAGUCAUAUUUUUCUAAGUGUCAGUAUAUUCCAUGAAACCUACUUCUAA
Thamnophis elegans (Western terrestrial garter snake) is the source of this 560-nucleotide long non-coding RNA. RefSeq lists it as uncharacterized. Lineage: Eukaryota; Metazoa; Chordata; Lepidosauria; Squamata; Natricidae. The record is from RefSeq and is a predicted model, not a curated record. The transcript has 3 exons.